AAAUUUUAUUUAUAAAUAUAUAUUCAUUUAUUAUAUAUAUUAUUUUAUUUUUAUAUAGAAAUAUUUAUAUAAUAUUUUGUUUAUAAAUUUGUAAUUAUUUAUUAAUAUUUUUAAAUAUAUAAAUUUUAUGUAUUAUUAAUAAGGUUUAUUAUUAAUAUAUGAAUAUAUUUAAUCUAUAUAUAAAAAUUAUAAUAAUAAUAUAUAUAGUAUAUUAAUUAUUAUAUAUUUAUUAUAUAGCCGAAUUUUUGACCCCGAAUUUUUAAUUAUCCGUAUAAAUCACGUAUCCGAAUAAUUACCGAACCCGUUUUUUAGCCGUAUUUUUCAACGAAUUUAAAAAUUUAAAAACGAAUUUUAUCCGAAUUAUACCCGUACCAAAUUUUUGCUGAAUCCGAAUUAACUAACUAUGGUUUUAUAUCAUUAUAUAAUGUUAACAUAUUUAUAUUAAUAAAGAAAACUAAUUUUAAUAUUUUUAAUAUAUUCUAAUUAAAUUAAAUAUUUUAAACAUAUUUAGUUUUUUAUAUAAUAUAUUAGUUAAAUAAUACUUGAUAUCUAUAC
This 555-nucleotide long non-coding RNA is filed under the name Ananas comosus (pineapple). RNAcentral's name for it is "long non-coding RNA (ACOM_LNC013324)". Lineage: Eukaryota; Viridiplantae; Streptophyta; Magnoliopsida; Poales; Bromeliaceae. The record is from RNAcentral.